Molecule: microRNA precursor, 82 nt
Filed under: Tursiops truncatus (common bottlenose dolphin)
Lineage: Eukaryota; Metazoa; Chordata; Mammalia; Artiodactyla; Delphinidae
Description: miRNA (ENSTTRG00000024325.1)
Source: RNAcentral
AACCAUGCUGGUUUGCCUGGGACUGGGGCCUUUCCCAGGACACGAGACUUGGAUGCUCAAACUGGGAUGCGUGGGCCACCCU